GGAUUAAGGCAGAGUGUGACGGAGCACGCCGCGUGAGUGAUGAAGGUGUUUCGGAUCGUAAAGCUCUGUUGUUAGGGAAGAACAAGUACCGUUCGAAUAGGGCGGUACCUUGACGGUACCUAACCAGAAAGCCACGGCUAACUACGUGCCAGCAGCCGCGGUAAUACGUAGGUGGCAAGCGUUGUCCGGAAUUAUUGGGCGUAAAGGGCUCGCAGGCGGUUUCUUAAGUCUGAUGUGAAAGCCCCCGGCUCAACCGGGGAGGGUCAUUGGAAACUGGGGAACUUGAGUGCAGAAGAGGAGAGUGGAAUUCCACGUGUAGCGGUGAAAUGCGUAGAGAUGUGGAGGAACACCAGUGGCGAAGGCGACUCUCUGGUCUGUAACUGACGCUGAGGAGCGAAAGCGUGGGGAGCGAACAGGAUUAGAUACCCUGGUAGUCCACGCCGUAAACGAUGAGUGCUAAGUGUUAGGGGGUUUCCGCCCCUUAGUGCUGCAGCUAACGCAUUAAGCACUCGCCGGGGGGGGGGGAU
This 527-nucleotide ribosomal RNA is filed under the name Bacillus subtilis. RNAcentral describes it as "bacterial SSU rRNA". It matches the Rfam family "Bacterial small subunit ribosomal RNA", at positions 368 to 873 of the family's 1533-position model. The record is from RNAcentral. Lineage: Bacteria; Bacillati; Bacillota; Bacilli; Caryophanales; Bacillaceae.